RNAcentral lists this ribosomal RNA (611 nucleotides) under Muscinupta laevis. Its description in RNAcentral is "partial large subunit ribosomal RNA". It matches the Rfam family "Eukaryotic large subunit ribosomal RNA", at positions 56 to 708 of the family's 3401-position model. The record is from RNAcentral. Lineage: Eukaryota; Fungi; Basidiomycota; Agaricomycetes; Hymenochaetales.
GACUAACUAGGAUUCCCCCAGUAACUGCGAGUGAAGAGGGAAGAGCUCAUCAUUGGAAUCUGGCAGUGUUACGCUGUCCGAGUUGUAGAUGAGGAGUAGUCCAUCUGGACUGCAUGGCGUCCAAGUACAAUAGGCCGUCAGUGGGACAUCAUAGAGGGUGACAAUCCCGUCCUUGAUGCCAAUGUGCAAGUCCGUUACGAUGGCUAUCUCAGAGAGUCGAGCAGUUUGGGAUUUGCUGCUUAAACAUGGGAGGUAGAUUCCUUCUAAAGCUAAAUACAGGCGAGAGACCGAUAGAGAACAAGUACCGCAAGGGAAAGAUGAAAUAGAACUCUGUGAAGGGAGUCAAAAGGCGUGAAAUUGUUGCGAGAGAAGCGAUUCAAGUCAGCGUAGCUAGGCCCAUCAAGCCUCUUUGUGCUUUGGACUAGCUUUGCCAGCGGUCUUGUCCCUUAGAGACUUGACUUAAUGAUGUCCAGCCUGGUAUGCACAGGUAGCCCCUCCUCCCUCUGGGGGUGGGGCCAGGGACAUGGCGGGGGGAAGGGUUUGCAAUCAACCCCCCUUGAAACCCGGACCAAGGGUUCUACCAGUUUUGCGAGUAUAAGGGGGGCAAACCC